Long non-coding RNA from Equus caballus (horse), 1936 nucleotides. Lineage: Eukaryota; Metazoa; Chordata; Mammalia; Perissodactyla; Equidae. The record is from Ensembl.
GAGUACAAAACAAAACCUUUAGAGUCCUAACUAAAUUGAAACCUCCAUUAUCCAGACCACCAAUGCAUAUUGAUGGUGAAUUGGAAAGUCAAACAUGAAAUUCUCCUAACUUCAUUCUUUGUUGUCCAAAUCCUCUGAUAAUUAUUACACCUUCAGUAUGCAAAGUAAACACAAUGCUGCAUUGAUUGUGUUUUUCAAGGUCUGCGCUCUAAACUUCCAGUAUAAUUGAACAGUUCUGAAUAUUUCAGAAAUUUAGUUGGAUCUAUCGUAAGACAUAACCAAAGAGUUUUUGUAGUGAGUUCAUUUUAUUAUACUGUAAUGCUUUUCCUACAGUUAAAAUGAGUAAAACAUUCUUAACUGAAGGUUUGUGUUACUUAAUAGAAGUUUUUCUGUAUAAACCUGAACUCCUAUCAUGUAGAAAAGUAGAUUUUUUUCAUAUUCAGUAAUAGAAAGCAAAGAGAUUAGCAAUUUCCCCUUCACAAUAAACUAAACCAUGAAGAAUCAAGCCCAGUGGAUCUAUAAUAAUAAUUUAUAUUUGUUGAAUAGUCAUUGUAAUUUGUGUGGUGUAUUAUCUCAUCUGGUACACCAGAGUACACUAAACCCUGUAAGCUUCCAUUAAUGGGAGCAAGUCUGAGAGUCAAGUAUUUUAAACCCACAUAUUAGAGAAGAGAAGAUGAAAACUCAGAGAGAUGAUUCUCUAAAAGCAUGGUCAGUUACUGGCAAAUCUGAGACUUAGACUUCUAAUAGAAACAAAAUUUACUAUUUCAUCCACAUUGUCCUAGAGUCCCUUUUAUUAAUAAGGGACAAUUCCUAUAUAUUCAGUUAGUAAAAUGCAGAUUUAUGAAUUACUUAAUUUUGAUAGAAUAUAUAAAACUUAAAAGCUGCGUCUAUCUGACUUGUACACUUGCAUGCCACACAGAUGUCAAUAUUUGGGAGGUUUGCAAUUGGACCAUCUGUUCUGCAUGGGUAUAUGUGACGUGGUUGAGCCCUCUCUGCAAUGCACCAUUUGCUGUUCUUUGUGUUUUUGCUGUUUUAAAGAUGUGCAGGAAUAAUGGGAGUAAGUUGGUUUGAAGUGUAGAUAAUACCAAAUAUGAUACCAAACAAAUGAGAAAGCUACAGGAAAUGCAAUUGAAAUUACUUCCGGACACAGAGGUCAAGAAUACCUAUUUAAAAGAUGUUGGAAAACAGGUCAGGAUGGUUGACACCUAGUUCAUUGUUACCGUGCAGUGUGAUGAAGUUAGGUCCAGUCCGAGAGUCUGAAGAGUGGAAGGUGGAAAAGGUGAGACCUGAGGGAGAAACUGCAUAUACGGCCAAUUAUACUGACAAGGUUGCCUAAGAUUCUUUUUUUACUCAGUUGAAAUAAAAUCUCUCUGCUGUUUGGCAAUGGCAGGCACUGCUGCUAAGUCCACUGAAGCAUAGCUGGAAAAUCCAGCUGCCCUCACAUCUGUUUUGCAUGACCUUUCAAUCAUCAGCAAAUGCUUCUGCCGCUAGGAAUGGAAGCCUGGGUAGGAUAUGGCUGUGUGACUUUCUAAGCUAUCGCUAUGGAAAACAUAUUGAAAGAAAAUUCACGCAUGCCAUGCCCUGUGCCCAGAAAUUAUAGACUUGUCUGGGCAGUGUUAAGGUUUUGACCCAUCAAGAGUGCUCACACCUGCUUCUUACAUUCAAGUUGUUAAUCCUUUGUUCAGAAAAUGAGACAUAUUAUGAAAUAUGUGAAUGAACUGCUAUGGCUUAAGUCUUAAGUGUGUAGGCUCUUAAACUGGUUCAAACUGAAAUAAUGUUGAUGAAAUAAUGUCUUUUAGACUUCUAACGAUUACAUUUAAUAGACGUCAGAAAGCUGUAUGACUUGACUUGACUCUGAGAUUAUUUAAGAGCCAUGACUUGGUUACAGUGCUUGCUUGAGUUCCACAUUGUAAAGAAAUGAUCUGAAAAUAAAAAA